GUCGAGUGAUCAGUUGAAGAGCUGUCCCAUAAAACAGAGUCAACCAGUCAACAUUCCUCCCUCUCUCCCCCAAAUCAAACUAUCCUUGGGUGAGGAUUAAAAAACUUUCAACUCAGGUAUCCUGGCUCAGCUAGCCAGUGCAUUAUGCAAUGGAUGUUCUAUGUGAAGUCAAGAGUUUCCUUUUGGCCUUUCACUUUGUACAAAGAAAACACGGGUGCAUACAUUUUACAGUGUCGAUCUUAUUUAUUGUUCUCUGUGGAAUGCUAUGUUUAAUGGCACAGUAUGUUGUCGAAGCUGCUGAAAUGUGACACAUGUCCGUGUCUAAAUGCUGCAGAACAGUGUGACUGAUGAUCUUAAACAGAAGUGUUAUGUUACAGCUGAGGUCUGAUGGUUUUAAACCAAUGCCUGUGUGUAUGGCCAGCCACAAACUCCGGGGAUGUUCAUUAUCUGUACAUGUAUAUACAAA
Long non-coding RNA from Phyllostomus discolor (pale spear-nosed bat), 466 nucleotides. RefSeq lists it as uncharacterized. The transcript is spliced from 2 exons. The record is from RefSeq and is a predicted model, not a curated record. Lineage: Eukaryota; Metazoa; Chordata; Mammalia; Chiroptera; Phyllostomidae.